RNAcentral lists this ribosomal RNA (253 nucleotides) under uncultured bacterium. RNAcentral's name for it is "partial 16S ribosomal RNA". It matches the Rfam family "Bacterial small subunit ribosomal RNA", at positions 524 to 776 of the family's 1533-position model. The record is from RNAcentral.
UACGGGGGGGGCAAGCGUUAUUCGGAAUUACUGGGCGUAAAGCGCGCGUAGGCGGGUUGACAAGUCUGACGUGAAAGCCCACGGCUCAACCGUGGAACUGCGUGAGAUACUGUCUGGCUUGAGUACGGGAGAGGAGGGUGGAAUUCCCAGUGUAGCGGUGAAAUGCGUAGAUAUUGGGAGGAACACCGGUGGCGAAGGCGGCUCUCUGGACCGGUACUGACGCUGAGGCGCGAAAGCUAGGGGAGCAAACGGG